RNAcentral lists this unclassified non-coding RNA (575 nucleotides) under Bombus terrestris (buff-tailed bumblebee). RNAcentral's name for it is "misc RNA ENSBTSG00005030410.1". Lineage: Eukaryota; Metazoa; Arthropoda; Insecta; Hymenoptera; Apidae. The record is from RNAcentral.
UUAGUAUUAUAACUACGAACGAUUUUCUUGAAUAAAUUAUAAACGCAAAAUAGGGAAACUGAUUCUACGUUAUAACUAUGAAUGAUUUAUUUCAGUAAAAAAAAACCGCAUUCUCGUUUAUAUUUCAUUCUCCUAAUUACAGUCUAUAUACGUCAUUGCACGUUAUGUUAUCUAUAUACGACAUUUCAGAAACACAGUACAAGCUCGCAAGAAUAUUUGUAGAAGAUACGGUGAUUAGUCUAGAAAAUUUAAAUAUGAGAGAACAUAGCAAUCGCGAUUUAUUAGCAUUCAAGCGGAUACAAAUAUUGCAAAUAUUUGUUAUACUUUUAUCGCGUCAGAACUUGAUUGAACUUUCGCAUCCAUCUAGAAUCUGCUAUAGCGUGAUCGUGCAUCAUAUCGUUAAAAAGAUAAUCCUGUCGUGCCACGUUCAUUACUGAAAACCUACAACCAAACGACGUCAUAAUACAACGAGUAUUAAGAUAACGAAAUUAAAAACGGUGUAGAUAUAGAAUUUUAAAUGAGAUCCAUUGAAAGUGCAAACUAUUUACUACAGAUUUUCUAAUCAUUUUUAGAGG